This 3178-nucleotide ribosomal RNA is filed under the name Triticum aestivum (bread wheat). Its description in RNAcentral is "partial small subunit ribosomal RNA". The record is from RNAcentral. Lineage: Eukaryota; Viridiplantae; Streptophyta; Magnoliopsida; Poales; Poaceae.
UAAGGCGCGCAAUCCUAAGCGGGGGCGACUUCCUUCCGGAGCAGACCCUCAGACCAGACCUGAGGCAGGCAUCCGCCGCUCCCGCACGCUUGUCCCUUCCGUUGGCGGCGCGGCGGAGAGGCAGGAGCCGAGGGGACGGCGGCGCCGGAGAGGCACGGGAAGAGAGGGGGCGCCCGCGGAGGGGAGGAGCAUCGGAGGGACGGCGGUGGCGGUGGCGGUGGCUGAUGCCUAAGGCGCGCAGGGGGCUGUGGCGGCGGGAUGGGUGAGGCACGAAGAGGCGGCGACGGGGGGAGGAGAGGAGGGUCAGGAGAUGGAGGCGCGGCGUCCGUUGGCGCCGGAGAAGUUCCUCCCCGGUUUUCCAAGUAGGAGCGGCAGUGGCCCCUUCGUGGAAGCACCGCAGUGGUCCAGUUUUGUCGAAGGACCUCCGGUGUUUCCCCCAAACCUGUACUAACUGCUACUCCGAUUGAAACCGCUGUAGUGACUACGGGGACGUCUUCGCCUUCGACGACAUUUCAAAGUAGGAUUAUUCGACGCCCCGUUCGAAGCCUUCUUUAGACACGGUAGUGCUAGACAACAUGGGUUAGUAUGUCACCUUUGUUCACUACUCUUCCGACAUCGAAAUUCAGUUCUAUUAAACAGAGUUCCUGAGUGAUGCUUAGUUCUUUAUUGUAGAAGCUGGCAAGAACCAUCACUUUGCUAACCACCACGCCUUCGAACACCCCCGUGAGAAAUGUGUGGAAGACUACUACACGACUGUCAAAGAAGACAUCUAUCCCAAAGUGUUCUACUGCUAGGAGUACUACUAGGUAGACUUCAUCGAUGCGAGGUUCUUUUGAACCAACAAAGUCUAUGGGUUCGUAGUAGGUGGGUAGGUUGAUCGUUCUGUCAACUGCUAAAUCGACUGAAACCCCUUGAUAAACUGUGUGUAAGACUUCUCCUUUUGCAACGUUUCAGGUUCGAUUUUUAAUUCCACUUUGAGUCGUUCCGUCGUAGGUUCAGGGCUUUCUGACCGGUUUUCUUCCGUCGAAGUUGACAUCUGCACCAGAGUGUUUUAUUUCUCCUACCAUUGCUACUAGAGUCUCCUACGUUGCUACUCGUCCAUGUUCGAGGAUCUGUACUUCUUGUACAUGUCUGGAGUCUAAGAGUCGGUGGGAACCCUUGACUACUACCAUGUCAACUGUUAAAGCAAUUGGUGUUGGCGUAGGAACUUCUCGGACCAGGUCUCCUUUGACGACGUUUCAAUGCGGGAUUUAGUGUUUCUUUUGGACCGUCCCGAAGUAGGUUCCGACAACCCUGAUCACUACUAGUACGUCUUCGAUUAGAUUUCCUAUAGUUACGAUCACAACUAUAUCUGAGACUUCUACCCGACUAUUUAGGAGUAUGACUACUAUGAGUUGGCUAGAAACCUCUUGGGAGUCGACUUCGACGACGAUGUAAAGAUGAACUAGAACCUUUCUUUUUCCCGUUUCCGUUUAGUCAUUGUAAACAAGAUGGUCUACUAAUACUCCCCCAGCGACGUUGUCUAUGGUUGGUAUUACUGUAUGUGAGACUACUUUUAAACUUGUGGAACGGAGUCGUUCGUGGAGUUUUCGUAACAGAAUGACUUCUUGUAAGUCUGCUAGUCCUUAUAUGACUAUCCCUCUCGGUCAUGGUACUCCCCCUCGCUAGUCUAGUACCACAACUUGUUGUUAGGUUUAACCUACAACCUUUUGUUCUUAAUAGUUACUUCAAUUCUUCGUCCUGUCUCUAAGUCUUUCAACCCAAUAGACUCGUAUAACAACUACUAGUAGAACUACUUCUAAAACAACUUGGAAGUCGUUGGCUUGUUUUAUUACUAUCACCGCUGCUCUUGUGACGACCUCCUUUCGUCUUCCGUGGCUCUUUCAGUUCCUUCUUUCUAGGUUUAUUUCUUGGAAACUCCCCAAGGUUCGCGUGGAGCUGUUUUAGGUGAAGUCUUUUUAGUGUCGGCUUGGUCGUCUUUUUAUUUUCACUUCAUAGAAGUGCGCCAGCAUUCUCUCGGAACUUCCUAUGUUACUGUCUUGUCGGACUCUUCUUCGAAUGAGUGUCUUAAGCAGUUUUUUCUCGAGUUCUUCACGUUUGCAAUGAAGUUUUUGGACUAGUACUCUAUCUAGCGUACUUCGAUUCACACUGCGUAGAGUCCAACAAUGUUCUCCGGUCUCUCGCAUAAGUCUCAUUUUGUGGCAGUCCUGGUAGUAGGAGAUUAGUUUCGUCGAGGGUAAAACCUCUAUGACUGCUAAAACUAGGAAAACCUCUAUUGAUACUGUUACUGUCUUGUCUCUUAGUACGUGAUCUUUUACGAUGAUUUGACUUAAUGGUAAGAAUAUACCUGUUUUUCUGUGCCCGGUUUACCUGUUUUAGACUGUGACUGAACAAAAUGGUCCCAGAAGCUGUUAAACCAUCGCUAAAACGUUACUAUGUCGUUGAUAAGGGUCUAUUCAGGGCGCUAGUCCAUGCCGUUUUCAAAUUUUCACUCCUGUUUUUCGUAGGUUACGUUCAGGUGCUACGAUAUGAAGUAGCGAGGUCUCUAUUGAACAUAAAUUUUGUUCAUUACUUUGUCGAGUUGUAACUUCUAAGCGAGUUUCUGUAGUUGUCAUGUGUUUUUGUUCUCCAACGCAGUUGACUUCCCUUGUGACCUUUACUACAAUAAAGACUUUGAUUGUAGUCACAACUCUUGCAAAGCUUAAACAGUCUACUUCUCUACCCGUGCGAGGUUAGACUCCAGUUUCUUCCCCUCCUACAACGUCGACCUUUACGACUACUACAACUGGACCUACAAAAACUAACCAUGAUCGUGCUAUCAGUGCGACUUUUAGUCCGUCUUUAAUAAAUCCUAGAGUGCCAAGACGGUUGGGACACUCGGUUCCUGUACAAGAUACAGCUUGCCCUAACCGCUCAAUCACUACGCUCUAUGCCUACGUCUAUCAUGCCAACCACGUCUCGACUACCGCCGAGAGUGAAACAAAGAUCAAAAGACUUAUUUUCUUCAACACCGAACAAGUCUUUCCAUAUAUACACGGAUAGUUUACUUAACGGGCUGUGUGAGCGAAACAUUAUAACGUAGAAGAAUGUCCGAGAGUUUUACAUAUCUCACGUCUACUCGUAAAGUGACAAGAAAAACUUCCUAUGAAAAUGUCGGUCGUGUUUCAUAGGUUUUCCC